CUCCGGUUGAUCCUGCCGGACCCGACUGCUAUCAGAGUGGGACUAAGCCAUGCGAGUCAACAUAGCAAUAUGUGGCAUACGGCUCAGUAACACGUAGUCAACAUGCCCAGGGGACGUGGAUAACCUCGGGAAACUGAGGAUAAACCGCGAUAGGUCACUACUUCUGGAAUGGGUAAUGACUCAAAUCUACAUGGCCCCUGGAUUGGACUGCGGCCGAUCAGGCUGUUGGUGAGGUAAUGGCCCACCAAACCUGUAACCGGUACGGGCUCUGAGAGGAGGAGCCCGGAGAUGGGCACUGAGACAAGGGCCCAGGCCCUAUGGGGCGCAGCAGGCGCGAAACCUCUGCAAUAGGCGAAAGCCUGACGGGGUUACUCUGAGUGAUUUCCGUUAAGGAGAUCUUUUGGCACCUCUAAAAAUGGUGCAGAAUAAGGGGUGGGCAAGUCUGGUGUCAGCCGCCGCGGUAAUACCAGCACCCCGAGUGGUCGGGACGUUUAUUGGGCCUAAAGCAUCCGUAGCCGGUUCUACAAGUCUUCCGUUAAAUCCACCUGCUUAACAGAUGGGCUGCGGAAGAUACUAUAGAGCUAGGAGGCGGGAGAGGCAAGCGGUACUCAGUGGGUAGGGGUAAAAUCCUUUGAUCCAUUGAAGACCACCAGUGGCGAAGGCGGCUUGCCAGAACGCGCUCGACGGUGAGGGAUGAAAGCUGGGGGAGCAAACCGGAUUAGAUACCCGGGUAGUCCCAGCUGUAAACGAUGCAGACUCGGUGAUGAGUUGGCUUCUUGCCAACUCAGUGCCGCAGGGAAGCCGUUAAGUUUGCCGCCUGGGGAGUACGGUCGCAAGACUGAAACUUAAAGGAAUUGGCGGGGGAGCA
RNAcentral lists this ribosomal RNA (868 nucleotides) under uncultured archaeon. RNAcentral describes it as "bacterial SSU rRNA". It matches the Rfam family "Archaeal small subunit ribosomal RNA", at positions 1 to 878 of the family's 1478-position model. The record is from RNAcentral.